AGUUAAAGGUCGUGAAAGACAGACUGAGGAGUUCUGAAUGAAGGGGACAGAGCUGACAAUACAUGGGAUCCCAAACCAGCAUUGGCGAUAAAUUCCAAACCGCUUUCAUAUAGCUGACCUUCACAGGACUCCGGGAACGGACAGGGACGG
Molecule: long non-coding RNA, 150 nt
Organism: Microtus oregoni (creeping vole)
Lineage: Eukaryota; Metazoa; Chordata; Mammalia; Rodentia; Cricetidae
Exons: 3
Source: RefSeq, a predicted model, not a curated record